Molecule: transfer RNA, 61 nt
Filed under: Pholcus phalangioides (longbodied cellar spider)
Lineage: Eukaryota; Metazoa; Arthropoda; Arachnida; Araneae; Pholcidae
Description: tRNA-Thr
Source: RNAcentral
GGUUGUUUAGUUUAGGUAAAACAGGGGUCUUGUAAAUCCUUGACGACUAGAGUAUAGCCGC